RNAcentral lists this transfer RNA (66 nucleotides) under Canis lupus familiaris (dog). Its description in RNAcentral is "tRNA-Pro". The record is from RNAcentral. Lineage: Eukaryota; Metazoa; Chordata; Mammalia; Carnivora; Canidae.
CAGGGAAUAGUUUAAGAAGAAUCUCAGCUUUGGGUGCUGAUGGUGGAGCGAGAGCUUCUUCCUUGA